This 212-nucleotide non-coding RNA is filed under the name Allobosea thiooxidans. Lineage: Bacteria; Pseudomonadati; Pseudomonadota; Alphaproteobacteria; Hyphomicrobiales; Alloboseaceae. The record is from RNAcentral.
AGUCUGCUCAGCGAUCGAGGUCCCCGGGAUCGCUUCCCGGGGCUAAGAGGGAAUUCGGUGAGGCGCUCCCGCGCCGAGGCCGAAGCUGCCCCCGCAACUGUGAGCGGCGAGCCUUCCGUCCAUCGUCCACUGGCGCCAUCGGUGCCGGGAAGGCCGGGCGGGACAGGCGACGACCCGCAAGCCAGGAGACCUGCCCCGAUCGUCGAGUACGU